AGAGACCGGCGCACGGGUGCGUAACGCGUAUGCAACUUGCCCUACUGAAAAGGAUAGCCCUUCGAAAGGAGGAUUAAUACUUAUAACAGAUUUAAUGGCAUCAUUAGAUUUUGAAAGAUUUAUCGCAGUAGGAUAGGCAUGCGUAAGAUUAGUUAGUUGGUGAGGUAACGGCUCACCAAGACGAUGAUCUUUAGGGGGCCUGAGAGGGUGAACCCCCACACUGGUACUGAGACACGGACCAG
RNAcentral lists this ribosomal RNA (242 nucleotides) under uncultured bacterium. RNAcentral describes it as "partial 16S ribosomal RNA". It matches the Rfam family "Bacterial small subunit ribosomal RNA", at positions 90 to 334 of the family's 1533-position model. The record is from RNAcentral.